CAGGCAGAGUAGGAAGGAGCCAAAGAGUUACUUCUGGGAAGACUGGGCCGGAGCUCUGGAGACCACCCUUCUCUACAGAUGCCAGCCCCCAAACUUUCAUUGCCCUUGACUCUGUUUCUGCCAUAUUCCAGAGCAUGUCGGUUAAGGAAUAGGUGAGUGGAGUCUCAUUUUGUUUUUGCUUUGCUUGUCUGCCCUGCUUCAAUCACCUAAACUCAUUAGAGAAUGGUCAAGCCCACAGCAAUGAUGAGGAAGGCACGCUUGCGUUUUCUGGGCUGUAGUUUCUGGAUGCAGUCAUGUCCAAGGCCCAGCCAGCCUCCGGCAAGCCCGCCAUGCUGCCUGUGGGGUCUCCCUCUGCCAGGAAGGGCACUUCUACCCUGGACAGUCCCAGCUGCAGCCCCACCACAGGAUCCCUCGGCUCUUCACGCUCCACUGAGAUUUCUCAAUUGACUGUAACUUCCUUUUCAGAAAUCCUAUUUGGCUUCAAAGUUACAGAAGAUUGUUCUCCUUGGGGCCUGCAGAGAUGUUCAAAGUAUGCCUCCUAGGGAUGACCGGAAUUUGCUUGAAGUGUUAAAAGAAAACCACAAGGCAUAAUAACACAACUAUUGUCCUUGACCCUCAGAUGCAAAAAUUAAAAUCCUCAUUCAUAAAGCAAUUUUGAAAAUCUCAUGGAAAUAUAUUCUCUUUAGAGCUGAGGCCAAAAAAAAUUAAAAAUUUCCUCCCCAAAAGGAAACUGGUUAGCUUGGAAUGAGAGACACAAAAGGCACAGACAGUAAGAGAAGAUUAUCAAGGUACGGAGGCCACUCUAGGUCUCUCAACCCCAAUUCCAAGACUUCAUAGCCCCUAACAUGGGAGAAGACCAGAGACCCAUAAAGGAAUGAAGUCUGGAAUAUAAUUUCUAGUGGAAAGGAGUGCUACAAAGAAGGGAUUAAAGCGUGACAAGGUUGGGGGUUGAUAUUGUAGGGGUCAGCGAGGACACUUUGAGGAGGUCCUAUCAGAGAAGAAAGCUGAAGGACAGGAGCAAAUGCAUGGUGCUGAAAAGAGAAGGAAGAGAGAAAAUGGAAGAUGGGGCUGAGGAAGGUAAUGAAGUUGAGGGGAAGGCAAAGUCAAGGUAGUGUAAGGCAGGAGUUUACAAACUGUCUCUGUAAAGAGCUAGGUAGGGAAUAUUUCAGUUUGGUGGCCAUACAGUCUCUGUUAUAUCUACUCAUCUCUGCUGUUGUAGCGUGAAAACAGCUCCAGGCAAUAUGUAAAUAAAUAGGUGGGACUGCGUUCCAAUAAAACUUUAUUGACAAAGAUAGGCAGAGGGCUGAAUUUGACUAGAGGGCUGGAUUUGACUAGAGGCCCAUGGUUUGCCGACCUUUGUUUUGGAGCCUUGUAGGCCAGGAUGAGAAUUUUACUUUUAUUGUUAAAGGAAUAGAAGCCAUGUGGGGGUUUUAAGCCUAAGAGUAAAGUGAUGUGAUUUGUGUUUUAGAAGAUCAUUUUAGCUGUCACAUGGAGAAAAGAUUGUAAGGCAAGAGCAGAAGCAGGGAGACCAGUUCAAGGCUUUUAAAGUUCUUUGGGCAAAAGAGGCUGGAGACUGUAUCUAAAGUGUCUGUGGCAGGAAUUCAAGUGCUCACCCGCAUCUUUAGAUCUCCCCCUUGAUCCAUGAUGGAACCCUUCCUCUCACUCCUGUGAGUUUUCAUGUGGCCAUGUGAUCAGCUCAGCCAAUAAAAUGCAAGGAGUAGAAGACCUUAAGAACUAGUGCAUGAUUCAGUCUGCCUUUCCCCUACCAUGGUGGUUUAUAACUUCUAGGCACUCAUCCUGCAUAUGCAACCUGGAACUUAAAAAUAA
Molecule: long non-coding RNA, 1827 nt
Filed under: Homo sapiens (human)
Lineage: Eukaryota; Metazoa; Chordata; Mammalia; Primates; Hominidae
Description: HSALNT0162375
Source: RNAcentral